UACGAAGGGGGCUAGCGUUGCUCGGAAUUACUGGGCGUAAAGGGCGCGUAGGCGGAUACUUAAGUCGGGGGUGAAAGCCCAGGGCUCAACCCUGGAACAGCCUUCGAUACUGGGUAUCUUGAGUACGGGAGAGGUGUGUGGAACUCCGAGUGUAGAGGUGAAAUUCGUAGAUAUUCGGAAGAACACCAGUGGCGAAGGGCGGACUCACUGGACCGGCAGUUGACGCUGAGGUGCGAAAGCGUGGGGAGCAAACAGGG
RNAcentral lists this ribosomal RNA (257 nucleotides) under uncultured bacterium. Its description in RNAcentral is "partial 16S ribosomal RNA". It matches the Rfam family "Bacterial small subunit ribosomal RNA", at positions 524 to 777 of the family's 1533-position model. The record is from RNAcentral.